ACGACCUCAGCUCAAGCAAGAUUACCCGCUGAACUUAA
RNAcentral lists this ribosomal RNA (38 nucleotides) under Steinernema sangi. RNAcentral describes it as "partial 28S ribosomal RNA". The record is from RNAcentral. Lineage: Eukaryota; Metazoa; Nematoda; Chromadorea; Rhabditida; Steinernematidae.